GAUGAACGCUGGCGGCGUGCCUAAUACAUGCAAGUCGAGCGAACGGACGAGAAGCUUGCUUCUCUGAUGUUAGCGGCGGACGGGUGAGUAACACGUGGAUAACCUACCUAUAAGACUGGGAUAACUUCGGGAAACCGGAGCUAAUACCGGAUAAUAUUUUGAACCGCAUGGUUCAAAAGUGAAAGGCGGUCUUGCUGUCACUUAUAGAUGGAUCCGCGCUGCAUUAGCUAGUUGGUAAGGUAACGGCUUACCAAGACAACGAUGCAUAGCCGACCUGAGAGGGUGAUCGGCCACACUGGAACUGAGACACGGUCCAGACUCCUACGGGAGGCAGCAGUAGGGAAUCUUCCGCAAUGGGCGAAAGCCUGACGGAGCAACGCCGCGUGAGUGAUGAAGGUCUUCGGAUCGUAAAACUCUGUUAUUAGGGAAGAACAUAUGUGUAAGUAACUGUGCACAUCUUGACGGUACCUAAUCAGAAAGCCACGGCUAACUACGUG
Molecule: ribosomal RNA, 497 nt
Filed under: uncultured bacterium
Lineage: Bacteria
Description: partial 16S ribosomal RNA
Rfam family: Bacterial small subunit ribosomal RNA
Source: RNAcentral